AAAUUUUAAUGUAAUCUUAAAUGUUAAUCUGCAGGGGUACAGCCCUGCAGAAUAAGACUACAACCUUAAUUAGAGAGUAAAUUUAUAUAACAACCAUAGUUGGCCUAAAAGCAGCCACCAAUUAAGAAAGCGUUCAAGCUCAACAAUUAAACUUAAACUUAAUUCAAAAAAUAAUAUAAGCUCCUAACUUAAAUACUGGACUAUUCUACUUAUCCGUAGAAGAAAUACUGUUAAUAUGAGUAACAAGAUUUUAUAUCUCCAAACACACGUGUAUAUCAGCCCGAAUCCCAACUGAUAGUUAACAAUUAGAUAAACCUAAACAUCCAAUUAACUAUUUUCCAUAAUAUUGUUAAUCCAACACUGGAGUGUAUAUAAGGAAAGAUUAAAAAAAGUAAAAGGAACUCGGCAAACAAAAACCCCGCCUGUUUACCAAAAACAUCACCUCUAGCAUUACCAGUAUUAGAGGCACUGCCUGCCCAGUGACAUUAGUUAAACGGCCGCGGUAUCCUGACCGUGCAAAGGUAGCAUAAUCAUUUGUUCCUUAAUUAGGGACUUGUAUGAAUGGCCCCACGAGGGUUUAACUGUCUCUUACUUUUAAUCAGUGAAAUUGACCUUCCCGUGAAGAGGCGGGAAUAUACAAAUAAGACGAGAAGACCCUAUGGAGCUUAAAUUAACGUGCCCAACAAAAUCUACUCUUAAUCCAACAGGAAAUAAAAAUAUUUUAACUGGGCAACAAAUUUUGGUUGGGGUGACCUCGGAGUAUAACAAAACCUCCGAGCGAUAUUGACCAAGACCUACCCGUCAAAGUAAUAUAAUUUAUUGAUCCAAUCAUAUUGAUCAACGAAAUAAGUUACCCUAGGGAUAACAGCGCAAUCCUAUUUAAGAGUUCAUAUCGACAAUAGGGUUUACGACCUCGAUGUUGGAUCAGGACACCCAAAUGGUGCAGCAGCUAUUAAAGGUUCGUUU
Molecule: ribosomal RNA, 966 nt
Filed under: Crocidura ichnusae (North African white-toothed shrew)
Lineage: Eukaryota; Metazoa; Chordata; Mammalia; Eulipotyphla; Soricidae
Description: partial 16S ribosomal RNA
Rfam family: Bacterial large subunit ribosomal RNA
Source: RNAcentral